UCUCAGUGCCAGUCCCGCCACUGCUGA
Molecule: non-coding RNA, 27 nt
Filed under: Homo sapiens (human)
Lineage: Eukaryota; Metazoa; Chordata; Mammalia; Primates; Hominidae
Source: RNAcentral